This 496-nucleotide ribosomal RNA is filed under the name uncultured bacterium. Its description in RNAcentral is "partial 16S ribosomal RNA". It matches the Rfam family "Bacterial small subunit ribosomal RNA", at positions 29 to 507 of the family's 1533-position model. The record is from RNAcentral.
AUGAACGCUGGCGGCGUGCCUAAUACAUGCAAGUCGAGCGAACGGACGAGAAGCUUGCUUCUCUGAUGUUAGCGGCGGACGGGUGAGUAACACGUGGAUAACCUACCUAUAAGACUGGGAUAACUUCGGGAAACCGGAGCUAAUACCGGAUAAUAUUUUGAACCGCAUGGUUCAAAAGUGAAAGACGGUCUUGCUGUCACUUAUAGAUGGAUCCGCGCUGCAUUAGCUAGUUGGUAAGGUAACGGCUUACCAAGGCAACGAUGCAUAGCCGACCUGAGAGGGUGAUCGGCCACACUGGAACUGAGACACGGUCCAGACUCCUACGGGAGGCAGCAGUAGGGAAUCUUCCGCAAUGGGCGAAAGCCUGACGGAGCAACGCCGAGUGAGUGAUGAAGGUCUUCGGAUCGUAAAACUCUGUUAUUAGGGAAGAACAUAUGUGUAAGUAACUGUGCACAUCUUGACGGUACCUAAUCAGAAAGCCACGGCUAACUACGUG